This 253-nucleotide ribosomal RNA is filed under the name uncultured bacterium. RNAcentral's name for it is "partial 16S ribosomal RNA". It matches the Rfam family "Bacterial small subunit ribosomal RNA", at positions 524 to 776 of the family's 1533-position model. The record is from RNAcentral.
UACGGAGGGUGCAAGCGUUAAUCGGAAUUACUGGGCGUAAAGCGUGCGCAGGCGGUUACAUAAGACAGAUGUGAAAUCCCCGGGCUCAACCUGGGAACUGCAUUUGUGACUGUGGGGCUAGAGUACGGUAGAGGGGGAUGGAAUUCCGCGUGUAGCAGUGAAAUGCGUAGAUAUGCGGAGGAACACCAAUGGCGAAGGCUAUCCCCUGUACCUGUACUGACGCUCAUGCACGAAAUCGUGGGGAGCAACCAGG